This is a long non-coding RNA of Brassica napus (rape), 1050 nucleotides long. RefSeq lists it as uncharacterized. The transcript is spliced from 2 exons. Lineage: Eukaryota; Viridiplantae; Streptophyta; Magnoliopsida; Brassicales; Brassicaceae. The record is from RefSeq and is a predicted model, not a curated record.
UAUAAGAACCAUAUUAUAAAAUGCAAAUAGUUUUGAAGUUAAAUUUAAAGUUUUGCUUUUGGAGAAAAACACUUUUAAACUUUAAAUAUAGAGUUUUGGAAACUUCAAAAUAGAGUUCCUUUUUGGAGAUGCUCUUAGCUAAAUGUCCAAUUUCCCUAAUACCUAUACACACUGUGGUUUUUCUAUAAUAAUUAUAUUUUGUCCUUUCAGCAACCGGUGAAAUCUACAGACAAAAAAAAAAUUAGUAACUAUUACCUGUCAAAAGUAAUUCAUGGCCACUUGAUAUUCACAUCCUUUCUUUUUUGUAAUUUUUCUCGGAAACUUUCUACGAUUAUCAUGAUCUCACUCAGAGAGUAUAUCAAUAUCGUCACCACCACUUAAAAUCCGAGAGUAUUUUGUGAUCGAGAAACUUCUCUAAAAGUCCUAACCUUCUCUACAUCUGAAACCGCCAAAGCGCCGCCGCAAUUACAACUGAUGGGGCGAGGAGCAUCCCCCGGACCGAUUCGCCUCCACAUCACCGAUUCGACGAAGAUCCUUCUUAAAUUCUGUUUGUUCAGGUGCUCUGCUUAAUUUAUCAACCGCAAUUACAACUGAUGCAGCGAGGAGCAUCACCCGGACCGAUUCGCCUCCACAUCACCUAUUCGACGAAGAUCCUUCUUAAAUUCUGUAUGUUCAGGUGAUUCAGCUGAUGGUGACAAAUUAAAAUAUGAAUGACAUGCAUGCACCAUGAGAUCCCACUAACAGUGCUGCAACAAACAAGGAAGUCACAUACACAUGAAGUGGAAUUAAGUGGCGUUACUAUUCCAUCGACGGAUUCUUGUUCUAUUCUACAUGGACAUAUUAUGUAAUGAGAUAUAUUUUGUUACUAUAUUAUUUUGUCAUGUUUCAUUCCAUUUGACGAUUAUUAAAAGUGCUAUAUUUUGUUUAGAAAUAUAGUUUGUAAUUUUUUUAAGUUUUAAUUAUGGUUACAUGUUUUUGAAUCUGUAAAAAUUGUACUAUAUUUUAUAUUGUAUAGUUGAAUAUUACAUAAUAUAAUUUAAUAUUACAUAA